This 329-nucleotide unclassified non-coding RNA is filed under the name soil metagenome. RNAcentral describes it as "partial contains 5.8S ribosomal RNA, internal transcribed spacer 2, and large subunit ribosomal RNA". The stretch from base 1 to 120 matches the Rfam family "5.8S ribosomal RNA", at positions 35 to 154 of the family's 154-position model. The record is from RNAcentral.
GAUGAAGUACGUAGCGAAAUGCGAUAAGUAGUGUGAAUUGCAGAAUUCAGUGAAUCAUCGAAUCUUUGAACGCACAUUGCGCCCCUUGGUAUCCCGAGGGGCAUGCCUGUUCGAGCGUCAUUUCACCACUCAAGCCUGGCUUGGUGUUGGGCGACGUCCUCUUUGGGGACGCGCCUCGAAACGCUCGGCGGCGUGGCACCGGCUUUAAGCGUAGCAGAAUCUUUCGCUUUGGAAGUCGGGGCCCCGUCUGCCGGAAGACCUGCUCGCAAGGUUGACCUCGGAUCAGGCAGGGAUACCCGCUGAACUUAAGCAUAUCAAUAAGCGGAGGA